This 1960-nucleotide long non-coding RNA is filed under the name Paramuricea clavata. Lineage: Eukaryota; Metazoa; Cnidaria; Anthozoa; Malacalcyonacea; Plexauridae. The record is from RNAcentral.
GUCUUUGUAUGUGUUAGCUUCAUACUGUAAAGCGUCCAUUCCCUAUUUGAAAAUGGCUUCAGUUCAAUCCGAUGUUGACUGGCAAUCGACAAAGAACACCGUCUUGGAAAGAAACAGUCAUAUGUUCAACAAUUCGGACAUGAAUGAUAUCAGUUUUACUUGCGAAGGUUCACACCAGACAUUUUACGCCCACAAAUACGUUCUUGCCACAAGUAGUGCUGUAUUUCAUGCGAUGUUUUAUGGUGAUUUAGCAGAAAAGAAUUCAGCUGUUCAUCUCAGUGAUACAGAUGAGAAAGGUCUGGAGGAAUUCUUAAGGUUCCUCUACACAGAUGAAUGUAAUUUGACAACAGACAAUGUUAUAUCGGUCAUGUAUCUUUCUAAGAAAUACCUCGUGCUCUCGCUUACAGAAUAUGUGAAAGCUCAGCUGGUAAGAGAUAUGAAACCGGGCAAUGUACUCGACAUUUUAGAACAGGCGAUUCAUUUUGAAGAGAAAGAUUUAGAAAUGAAAUGCUGGCAGGUUAUUCAGUGGCGUGCAAGCGAGGUUGCUAGCUCGGCAAACUUUAUCAACAUCAAACAAGCGACUCUUGCCAGUUUACUGAAGCGGAACCGCUUGAAUAUACCAGAAGUUGAAUUAUUUCAAGCGGUGUUAAAAUGGAUUGAUCACCAAUGUUCGCAGAAAAGCUUAGAGUUGACAAUGGAGAACAGAAGGUCUGUUAUCGGCGAGGCUGUGUACGACUUAAGGUUUAUUGCGAUGAAUCAAGAAGAAUUCGCAAAGCAUGUCUCCAAAUCUGGUUUGCUGAUUGCUGAAGAACUAGUUCCAAUUUAUGAAAAAGUCAACAAGUUGGAGUCGCCGCUAUUGAAAUGGAAACUGCCUCAGAGGGAAAAAACGUUUAAAGCUAGCAAUAAAAUAAUUCGAAUAUCUAGAUUUUCCGCCUUCUCCAAGAAUGAAUCUUAUUCGCCUUCCUCUUCCUGGCAAUACAGUGGUCACCACGCGUCGUAUGGACAGGGUCAGCCACAGGUUGAUGUAAAUAAUAGAGAUUACCUGUCUUUUGCUGUUGAUCAAUGCGCACUAUUUCUCGGUGUGCGGUUGUUUGGUACAAAGGUACGCUCUGGACAUAGCAAUACGUAUCAAGUGGAUUUGACGGUCAAUGGCCAAAGUGCAAACUCUGAUACAAACAACUACACAAGCGCCACCAAUUAUCAGUCCGAAACAAAGGAGCAUAGCAUUCCUGGUUUUGAUGUGAUGUUACAAUCCCCCAUUUUAUUGAAAGAGAACGAAGUAGUGAGAAUGGACGCCGGAAUAGUUGGUCCUCUUUCACAUUUCGGAUGGCGUGGAAAGCCUAUAGUUAAAGGGCGAAGGAUCACUGUAAAAUUUCUUGAUUCCAGUGAUUCCUGUAGCUGCAAUGCACGUACUUGUGUGUCCCAAGGACAGUUCCAUCAGAUAAUACUCUCUGUUUAAGCGUGAUUGGACAUGUCAAGACUUCGGACAAGACUUAAAUUGUUGAAUAUGCUCAUGAAUAAUUUUAAUCUUGUAAAUAUAAUCUCGUAAAUAUAACCUUGUAAAAUCAAGUUUUUUUAUGUUGUUACCUUGCAAACAGUAACAAGUUAAUUGAUUAUAACAGUAACAAGUUAAUUGAUUAUGAUUAAACACUUAAUUAAAAAAAUAUCAAGUAAACCAUGUUGAAUAUUCAGGGUACAGGUCAUGUGCUGCAGUAUUUAUAUAGCCAGACUGUAGUUAUUAACAUACAAUCUAAUGUGUAAUGAUUUAGGUAAUUUAAGCAUAACUAUGCAGCAUAAGAAUAUAGUUUACGUUCAGUCGUAUUUUGUAGUCGAGAUUUUGUAAAAAAGGCUUACUUUGCCUUUUUGUAGGCGAGACUUCAGUAUUAAACAAUUGAUACAGUUUCUUAUUCUUAAUGUAAUUUUUAAAAUAACUUUUGUAACCUUUCUUCAAUUUUGUGAA